UUGGAGGGCAAGUCUGGUGCCAGCAGCCGCGGUAAUUCCAGCUCCAAUAGCGUAUAUUAAAGUUGUUGCAGUUAAAAAGCUCGUAGUUGAAUUUCGGGAUCAAUGUUUCGGUCAUGCCGUUGGUAUGUACUGAUAUUAUUGGUUUCUCACCUUCUAAAGAACCGUAAUGCCAUUAAUUUGGUGUCACGGGGAAUUAGGACUGUUACCUUGAAAAAAUUAGAGUGUUUAAAGCAGGCUCACGCUUGAAUACAUUAGCAUGGAAUAAUGAAAUAGGACAUCCGAUUCUAUUUUGUUGGUUUCUAGGAUCGAUGUAAUGAUUAAUAGGGAUAGUUGGGGGCAUUAGUAUUCAAUUGUCAGAGGUGAAAUUCCUGGAUUUAUUGAAGACUAACUACUGCGAAAGCAUUUGCCAAGGAUGUUUUCAUUAAUCAAGAACGAAAGUUAGGGGAUCGAAGACGAUCAGAUACCGUCGUAGUCUUAACCAUAAACUAUGCCGACUAGGGAUCGGAUGAUGUUAAUUUUUUAAUGACUCAUUCGGCACCUUACGGGAAACCAAAG
This 555-nucleotide ribosomal RNA is filed under the name uncultured Glomus. Its description in RNAcentral is "SSU rRNA". It matches the Rfam family "Eukaryotic small subunit ribosomal RNA", at positions 548 to 1103 of the family's 1831-position model. Lineage: Eukaryota; Fungi; Glomeromycota; Glomeromycetes; Glomerales; Glomeraceae. The record is from RNAcentral.